GUCUACGGCCGUGCCACCCUGAACGAGCCCAAUCUCGUCUGAUCGCAAAAGCUAAGCAGGGUUGGGUCUGGUUAGUCCUUGGAUGAGAGACCGCCUAGGAAGACCAGAUGCUGUAGGCG
RNAcentral lists this ribosomal RNA (119 nucleotides) under Pteropus alecto (black flying fox). The record is from RNAcentral. Lineage: Eukaryota; Metazoa; Chordata; Mammalia; Chiroptera; Pteropodidae.